CUGCAGAUAGUACGGUGGAGCAGAGACGCCUGGGCACAAGUGGCCGAGUUCCGAGUGACUUUAGGAAAGCUUCUCCCCCUUCCUGGGCAUGCAAAAGAGACUCUGCACCUGCACCGCAGUUUGCCCUGGAGAGAAGCCUCUGCUUCGCCCGCAGGGACGAGGAACUAGAGCAAGAAGCAGCAUUUGAAAAUUGCUCUUGACUCAAGGACCAAUGAAUCUCAUGAAGGGGAAUGAAGGCAGCUCCAUCUACAUGGCAAUCCAGUAGGAACCACAGUAACAUGCAUGUCCCUGAGGAACUUAAAGAGAUCUUCUCACAUCUGUAGACAUAUGAUGCUCAACAGAAUUCUGCUGAGAAUUGAAUGAUUUCUUCUGGACACAUCUGCAGCUUCUGUCUGGCUUUCUCCUGCUCUGACGGUGUUUGCUCAUUUUCCUAUAGUUUUGAUUUGCUCGGAAGGAUUCCCAGAAGCAAGGAAGGUAAGUGCAUGCCUAACUUCUCUUAGACCUUUGGGAAUUCUUCCCUCGGUUGCAGUAUUGUGGUUUUGUUUUUGUUUUGUUUUGUUUUUUUAAAAAAAAGCUGGGUGAGAUGAAAGCCCAUUUGCUCAUUUAUAAAUAUCCCCACGACAACUGGUAGCACAGAGAAGCAUGACAGACAACCGAUAUAUCCUAUCUUAGAAGUAUUGGCAUGUUUUUGUAGGAAAUACAGUUUAUUCUGGAAGACAUGACUGGCAUAAUGUUUAAAAAAACAAGUUACUAAGCACACUGAUAAGUAAUUGUGUACAUUAAAGUUUUAACGUUCUUUUUUGGCUAUUGAUUUUUGAGACAAAAAUCUUACUGUUUAGCACAGACUGGUCUCAAACUGAUGGUCAUCCUCCUGCCUCUGUCUUCAGUGCUAACAUUGUAGGUAUUAGUCACCACACUUGACGUAAAAUUUCAAUUCUACCCCAAACCAAUUAUCUAGUUUUCCUAGGAAAAUUAAUUUAUUUUUAAAAAAUUUGCUAAUAUUUGAAUCAGAACCCAAAACUGUAUAGAUUUUAGAAUUUGGCAAGUAGGAUGCCUUAGUUCCCAAAGCUGGCCACACCUUCUGUGGUUGGAAUGCAAGCCUAAGGUGUUUUGAAGAAAUCAGGGUGUUAUUCUUCUACAGGUGGUUUGAUUGGUUUUAAAGAUGGCUGUCUCUUCAGUAAAGCCUAAACCUUGUGAUGCAAUAAUAAUGAUUGAGUAGUUCUCAGACUCUACCUACAAAUACUAUUUGCUGUUUAUGCAGGACAAACAUCUUACAAACUGAGGUUGCACCUAAAUAAAACAGAAUGUCUAUAACCAUAUGCUUAAAAGAAAAACUACCCAGAAUUUUGUCAGUUACUUUUAUCCAGUGUUAAUUUUAUGUAAUAAAAUUAUAAUAUAUUGUGAAUGGCUUCUUUAGUUGGGGAAAUAUGGGAACACCUAUGGGAGGGGUUCACAUUAUAUACAUGAGAAUAUAUUCCAGUUCUAUAGGGAGUUUCAAAGGCCCGUUGAGAGGUGUCCAUUGAUCAUAAACCAUUUCAUUUAGAAACUGGGCUGUAUGUUUUUUCUUAUCCUUCUGAUUUGAAGAAAUGUAGGGAGAUAAUAUAUGAAUUCUUAUCAAGAACAGUGUCUCUCCUCCACUAUCAAAAUGAGCAGUGUAAUCUUACACAGCAUCUUGAUUUUUCCCAAGAAGGUGACUAACCAACCUGGAUACUCACACAGGGUGUGAGAUAUAUAUAACUCACAAUCUCAGUACAAAAAGAAACCUUCAGUGCAGAUGCCCUGCUGAUCCAAACCAAUUAGCUAUGUUUUCUACACUAGGGUGAAAACGCUUCAGAGGCCUUGGAAAUUAGAGUGGAGCUUUGGGUAGAGGGGAAUUUCACUUGUCUCAUGGGGGUCGUACCACUGUGAUGGAAACGCUCAUUUCCCAUAUGGGUAACAGGAAUUAUAGCAACUAUGGCCAAUUUAUAUUGAGUGAAAAAUAUGUUAUUUUUCUCUAGGUCAGGGCCACUCCUCCUGACCUCUGUUGAUAUUUUAAUCUAUAUAAUUCUUUUCAUUGGGAGAUUCUUCAGCCCUGGCUCCUGCCUGCUCUGUGACAGUUCCACCCUCCCUAAACAUCUCAUAUUCAUACACAGCCAAAGGUCCUUCAGAGACCAGCUCCCCUUGACUGAGAGCUAACUGCAAGAUAGUUUUGAUUGCUUCUUUGAUCUAUACAUAAAAUUAGUUAUAUUAGAUCUUCACACUUAUCUAAAUAGUGUGUGUGUGUGUGUGUGUGUGUGUGUGUGUAUGUGUGUGCGGGCACGCAUGCGUGCGCGCAUGUGCAUGUGUGCAGCAGGUUUCUGAACAGAGUAGACAGCUCUGACACAAAUGCUCCUGCAAAACAGUAUUUUAUCUGUGUGUGUAAAUCUGUCAUUCCAGCUGUGUGCCCAUCACCUGCAUCACUCAUGUGAUAGCAUAAGAAUAUUAAGAGUCAUUGGAUGUGGGCUAGUAGUUACUGCUUUAUUUAAAACCAAAGUGUCCAGCUAUGCUAAUGUAAAAUAUUUGCCUUCAUUUGGAUAUGAAACACUUUUCUUAUGUGUUAUCAUUACAUAUAAUAUCAUGUUUUCAGAAUCUAGUUUUGACAACAUUGAAGAAAGUAAGGUGAUAGGGACAAUUCCACAGAAAACAGCUUAUAAAAGUGGUAUUAAUUGUGCUUUGUCAUUGGUUUGGAAUUUCUCCAAAUACUAAAUAGGUUUCUUGAGAAGGCACAUAAAAUAUUGAACACUGAAGAAAAUUUGAAGUGAACAUGUGUGAGCACCAGGGAAAUAGGGUGAUGACCACAGUCUUUUCCAGGCAGAAAGAGAAACUACCAAGUUGAUACACAUUGCUUUUGAAUCUGUGUGCAUGUGUUUGGUACUGAUUUUGAUUGGAAGGAAAAACAUAAAAUUAUAAUAGUCACAUAGAAACCAAGAAGAUGAGUCAUUGGAAGAAAAUUCUCUGUGAGUACAACUUGAGACUACAAGACAGAAAAUACGUUCCAUGGCCUUAGCGUGUUCUUUUCGAAACUGUUAACGUUACUAAGACAGUAUACUGUAGUUUGAGUUCACAUUAACAAACAUGAAUAAUCUGGGUCUGUUAACUGAGGAAGCCUAAUUUCUUGAAUAAAUCAGUAAUUUCCCCAUGAGUGAGUAUGCAUGUGUGUUUGCACAUGCACGUGCAUUUACACGUGUGUGGGUGAUAUGGCCUCCCCAUUGUGUACCCGUGAGACAAAGCUGAUUUUUUUCUCCUUGUUCAUUUUAUUUUUUUGUCCAUUUUUCUAAAGUUUCUGUGGUUCUCUGCUUUAUGCUUUCUACCAGGUGCUGUGGAAAUUUUCUUGCAGUAAAAUUUAAACAUGCCUUGUUUAUAUGCUAUUAUGUGUUUACAGUUUCAGAUUUUAAUAAGUCAUCUGGAUCCACGUACCAUGGUACUGUGAGACAACAGGCUUUUCUUCAAGGGUCUUAGUUGUAGGCUAAUGCAAAAGCUGAGCUCACAUCCAUUCAGGAGUUAACUUUAGCAUCACUCUACAUAGAGCUGUAUAGCUGUAGUGUCAAGAGUUAGACAUAAAAGCCAGAAGACUUUAGAGCUCCAGUUUGUAGUAACUACAUCAUAAAAUGGCAUUAUGCCUAUAGCUCACUCUUUUUCUUUAUGAAGAGUUUAUAGUGAGUGUGCUUUGUUUGAUAUGUCACAUAAUUUUUUUAAAAUUACAGUGGAGUUUUUCUGUGGUCGUAAAUAACAGGAUCUGAAGUAAAAGGAGUGCAGAGAUAUGAGAACUUAUUGCUAGUAGAUGUUUCAUGUGAUAAAAAAAAAAACUUUCAUAGUGAAUGAGUUUACAUCAAAGAGAAAUUACAAUUUGGUUUAAUGAUGAAUUGGGAAAUAGACUUUCAGCAACUUUGCGGCUACAGGCACUUCUAUCACAGACUUUUCUAUACCAGAGUUUUACAAACUUUGACUGUACCAGGAUUACUCAAAGGGUUGAGAAAAUAUAAAUUGCUCAGCUUUGGGCCAGAGUCUCUGCUUCAAGUGAAUUCUGGAAACCUGUACAUGUGACCAGUUGUCCAGUGGUAUAUGUAAAGGCUGGCAGCCUGCAUGUAUGACCAGUUGUCCAGUGGUGUCAAAUAACCACUAUUGUAGAGCUUUACUGACACUCAGGAACCAAUUCUUAGUUGGAGCUUUCUCCAAAUGACAAAGACUAUUACAGGUUAAAUAAAUACGUUCAUAAGCUGGGAAUACUUAUUUGUAACAGACUGACAGCUUUACCAGCAGAAUGGGUGCAUUAUAAAUGAGAUUGUUUACAACAAAAUUCUUCACUAGAUAUCAAGACAGGAGAAUUUAAGAGACAAACAAAGCAGGUGAUCUCUUCUGAAGUACAAAUUUCAGUCAGCUUAAUUUUAAAAGUAUAUAGUAUAUAGGAACACAAAAAAACAAAAAUACUUAUCAUCAAUAUUUUAUUCAUCUUUUCUUUUUUUUAUUCAUCUUUUCUUGAUUAUUUCUGUUCCACAUGCUUUUAAAGAAUUAACAACUCUGUUUUCGCAGAGUUCAACCUCAUCCAAAUAUCCAGUAUCUCUUAGCCUUAUAUGAUUUUUUAUUGCUUUCAUGGACUACAGGUUUCUACUAACUCAGUACUGUUGUUUACAGUUCAUUAAGAUUCAAAUACAUUGACGUAAGUGCUAAUUCAUGAGAUAGAGUACAUUUCAUAAACUAGACAUAACUGCAAAGCACAUCUUGACAGAUAUCCAGGGCUUCCCUCAGUGAUGGUGAGCUUCAGAUACCCGAAGCACAUGGUAUAGUUGACCAUGUGGAUGAGACUGUGGGAACUGUGUCCAUUGAACAUACAAGGCAGGGUGCUGAGUGUUUGCCUAUGCUUUGUACAUUAUUUCAAAGCGCUCAGAGUAAACCAGCUACCUGAGAAGUUUCUGAAUCAGAUGUCAUAGACAGCUCAUGCUAAACCAGACGCCAGCUUCUAAUCCGCACUCCCAUUUUGAAACAAUGACAGAAGCACACGUAAGAAUGGCCCAUUUGCUGUGCGGUUGAUCGUUCACUUGAAGAUUAUACUGUACCACGGCCGGUCAAAUGUUACCAUGCAGCUUUCCACAGAAACUAUGAAAUGCUUGCUGUUCUAAGAGAAGAUGAAGACAGCAGAAAUGAAGAUGAUAUGAAGUCCUUCUCACCAUGCUUGGGAGAAUGAAUCCAAAAUUGAGUUAUGGUGCUCACACUAAACCAGGGCACAAACUCUUCUGCUUAUUUGGCAGGAACAUUGAAUCACUUAACCAAAUAAACAACACAAAUCUUUCAAACCAAGACACUGUCAAUUGAAUUAAUAUCUCAUUUGCCAAUAAAUAUGUGUUAUGGUUGACAGUAAAUUCUGCCACACUCAUGCCUGUAUGCUUUAACGUAUGCCUCUAUGCUUCCACGUAGAAUCAUGACCACUUGAGUCUACCUGUAACAUAACGCUUACAGAGAUCUGAAAUCUUGUAGUUCUUCUGACUCCAGAACAAGGGAAGACGGAAAGUUAAUGUUCCUGGUUAAGUAUUGGAAAACCAUCAUCUUUCCCCCUAUUCAAUUGAAGAAUCUUGAAUAGGGAUACUGAUUCAUUAGUGAGUAAAUAUUUUUAUAUUCUCAAAUGCAGUGGAUAAACACUACUUUAGAAUACUAAUAAUUAAACUUCAUUUUUUUUUAUUUCCUGGCUUUAUAAAGAUAUUGUUUUCCAACACUUUGCAGAUUUGGGAAUUAGGAUUAGAAGUUGUCUUCUAUUUUAGAAUGACUAAAAUGGUUAUAAUUAUAAUAAUGUAGGUCUGUCUUCCCUGUCCUUUCUGUGUUCUGUGCAGUUUACCAAUCUUAUCCUUCCUUUUCUCCAGAGGCAAAAGUACAAAUCUCUUUGACACAGGCCCUCUAGCUCAUCAUGUGCCUAUCCAAAGUGCUAUUGUUGAUGUUGGAUUCAGGGUUUUGAAUGGGGAAGAUAAUCGGUAAUAACAAAAUUGUAUCCCUUUCUUCCUGCAAUUACCUCAGAGUCCAUACAGCCUUGACAUCUGGAAGCCCCCAGCCACUGUCACAGCUGUGCUUCCUGCCCCAUUGCUGGAAGUUAAACACAUAUUCCAAAGGACAUUCAUUGUUCUGGUGUUCUCUGGGAACUCAGAAUCAAGGCUAUUAGUGAUCAUACCACUUGGUACCACGCACAUAUUGGAAUCAUAAACUCAUGUGAAACACCUAGUAUUAUUAGCCACUUACUUACAGAUGGGAUAGGUUGUGUUUGCUUAGCAACAUACACACACACACACACACACACACGCUCUUAUUUUCUCCAAUAAUCAAGGUUAGAAGGAUGUGUGCCUCAAGACACACUCCUAUUUAAACUGUUGGGAGAGAAUUAAGUUAGACAGUAAGUGGAGGAAUUUUACCACUCUGUCUUUGCUCAUAUAGAACUUCAAGUGACAAACAAAUGAACUUUCAAACACUUAGGAAUCAGUUAAGGAAUCUGGAGAUUCCCAAAUGAAAUACGGAGUCACUAAGUGUUGAUAAAAUCCAACAGACUUUUGCUAUCAAAUAAAUGUAGGGAACGAUUUUAUGAUUUGAAGCUGAUGACCACUUAUGUUUGUUUACAUGGCUUGCUUUGACUCUUUUAAAAUGAUCAAAAGGAGUGGAUGCUGAAUGGACUAGCUAUUAACUUAUCUCCAAAAAAAUAACCAUAAUGAUUAUCCUCAUUUUAAGAGCAUUAGUAAGUUUUGUUCACAAAAUUAAGAGGGAGAUGGAUUUUACUAAUGCUCUAUAAUCAUUUUGUUAAUCAAAAUGAUUGCCAGCAAUCUUCUAGAAAUUAAACUGAUUUGCUCUAGAAUAGAUUGAGGAUUGCUGAAGCUCACAGUGACACUCGGCAAAAAUAUAAUUGCAUAUGAUAUUUAUUUAGUUUACUAAUUGUAUUUUUAUUUCUGUUUAUACAUCUUGCUUUCAUUUACUGCAAAACAUUAAAAUAUUCUCAAUAGCAUAUUAUUUGUCCCAAUUUGCUAUUUAAUUCAACAUUUCCCUUUGUUGAUUAUUCUUUUUUAAUUUUGCACUCAAUGAUUAAUAAUCUUUCAUAAUUCAACAGUUUAUUUCAAAUGAUAAAAGCAGGCAUGUAUCAUUUAUGCAGUGACUUUGAUAUCUAUCCCUUUUUGGUUAGGAUUUUUGACAGUGUAUUUACAAUAUGUUCAUACAAUGUUAGUUUUAUAUAUGCUUGAACAGCUUUAGAGGGAAGUUACCUCUGAUAACCGGAAGUUACUGGACAUUAUUCUAAUAUUUUCAUAUGACAUUUCCUACUGCAGGCUUAACUUACUUUGAAGCACAUCUUUGUUUGGAUAGUGUCUGGUUUUUCAAUCUUCAUUGCUCUACAGAACUUUGCCAGGGAUCAUCCUCCCGAGGAGCAAUUACAAAGCACAGAAAGAGGUUUAGAUGAAUUUUUACAAACCCAUUUUAAAAUUCCAUACAGAAUACACAAUCCAUCUUGUCCAAUUGCUUUGUUGCCUUUCUCUGUCUGCAUUUUGCUCUCUUCGUGACAAUUCACUUUUCAUUGCCCCACAGGGAGUAAGAACAAGUUUCAUAUUGGUUUGUGCAAUGCUUGGGCAUUCAGACACAGGUGAAGUAUUUUCAGAAUCAAUACGGCAGAACUGUUUAUGAUGGUCUGUUCACACACCAUUGAUGCUUUGUAACACACUGGACAAAGCACUUCUUUUCACUGCUACUUAAACAAAAGCGCACGGGGCCCUGUGUUUGCAAUGAAGCUCCAUUGGUCUGCACGUGUGCAAAGACUUGCGUUUGGGGAGGGCUGUACUCUAGUCUUUCCUGAGAGAAGAUUCAGCUUGCAAUCACGAUCCCUCAACAGAAAUGUCUGCAGUAGCCUUGACUCUGGGCAGACAGAAAGGAACCCCCUGUGUAUCUGACUUACAGACCACUUGCAAUUGCUUAGAAGGCUAGGUUAAUGAUGAUGUCAUUCAGCAGCUCCAGACUUGAUUUAAGCUGUUUGCAACCUUGUUGAUGAGUAUUGUGCAAAACGGACUUUGAAUUAUUUCCAUUGGACACAAUAUGUGCCAGGACUGCUUACGCUUUUCUCUCUACUCUUUUUGGCUUUUCUCACACCUCAGAAAUCACUUUUAACUUUCCAAAGACAUCUCACUUCUUCACCUCAUUGUUAGAACCUUUUAUGUCAUGACAUAAAAUAUAACAAGGUGAAACUAGAAAUGAUUUAUGCAGAGGACAUUUGUGCCUUCAACAUAUUUAAGUCAGCCUUGGUAAAGUUCAAUAUCAAGAUUUUCCUACAUGGUAACUUUGGAUGAUAGAUUUUAUUUUGUUGGGGUUGAAACCAGGGCCUUACACAUACCAGGCAAGGGCACUCCUACUCAAUCACAUUCCCCACACUGGAACUACUAUCAUUGGUCAUUAAAUAGACUACCUUUAGCUACUGAGAAGUUCUUGAAUAUCAGCUAUGAGAAUAGACAGAAUGUAUCUUGGUAAAAAUAUUUCUAACCUCCUAUCUUUUAGAGAAUUUGUUACUCAGUUUUUAAAUAAAAAAAAUUAUAACAGUCACCAUAUAAACAUGUAAAACUUAAAAUAUUCUAAGAUUUGAAACUAUCACCAACAUAUUAUCAUCUGAAAUAGAUGAUUUGAGGACAGAUUUUAUAGUGUCACACAUAAAGGACCAUAAGAAGAUAUCUAAAAGGAAAAUGGCUUUUUCUUUGUCUGGUUUUCCAUGGAAACAUAGCGAAUCUGCUGGGAAAACCUUCCAGAUCAUUUUUCUCCCUUGAGAAGCUAGUAUACAUUUUUAAAAUUAUAAUUUAAUGCAAAUAUGGGAACAGAUCACUAUCUGUCUAUGGCUUAGAAUCUUCACAUGGACUGCAUAUCAUUUGCUAUGGUGGAGAAUAUUUUACUUCAAACUCUCAACUCUUGAGUUUCCCGAGAGGCACAAAAAGUGUUGAUGCUCUGCUUAGCCUUGUAAGCAAAAUAUAUCGCCAUUGAUCCAGAAGAAAAAUUACAGAGAAGAGCAGUGAACUACAAAGUCCUGACUUCCUAACAUAAAAUCACUAAACGCUCUGUAUCAACACAUGCCUUCAGAGUCAAGGCUCUUUUUACCAGGUGUGGAUAUUUUGGGCACAUUAUUUUUUCAGCACUACACAAAUCAGAACACAGCCCAAAAUAAGGAUGGGAGAACAUGAAGCCCUGCUUCAUGAAAUGUGCAUUACUUUUUAUGUGGUGUUAACAAGGUGACUCUGAUAGGCCAUCUAGCCUGUCUUAGUUUAAGAUGGAAGCACAAAGAUGUUUUCCUUCUAGACCUCAGACUUAAGAACUGAGAGAUCAGAGGAAUGACUUGAUCUGCAUUGUGCCUGCAGACCAAAAGAUUUCACAGCAUUCCUGCCUCCAUGCUAGGCCUCCUGUCUCUUUAAUGGCAUUUAAAUUACAGUCUGCUGCAGCCACACAGUCAAAACACCACAUCAUGUUGGGUACCACAUUGCAAUCCGUCAGGAUGUUGCAAUUAAAGAAUCCAUAUAUGCUUGCCCUUGUUUUUCUCUUUUGAUAGAAAAAGUAAAAGAACUGUCUUUUAAACUAGGUCUAUAGUUGAACGAAUCAAGAUGGACAAAUGACACGCUUUUAUUUAUAGAAUUUCCUUCCUUUGUGUAAUAUAUUCCUCUUAUAAUUGUAUUUUAGCAUUCUAUUUAUUUAAUAUAUCACAUGCAUGUUAUGCUUACAUAAACACACAGAAAUUAAAAGUGUAUGUCCGAUUAUAAGAAUUUUGUUUUCUCCCAAGACAACAUAUUUGAUAUAAAGCAUACUUAUACUAGACUAGUAUUAAAUAUAAAGAAAUGGCUCCACAUUCUGAAUUCUGGGAUGGCGUUCAGUACAGAUGGCGUGUUUCAAAUGUCAUACAAAGAGCAAGUUUUAAUUGGAAUAUGUACUUUUAACAUGAUGUUUAUUAUAGUGACUUCACAAUCAAACCCUUCCGAAAUUAGCAUUCACUCAGUAUUCCUAAAGAUCCACAAAAAGAUGCUACACUUUCUACAAAAGCACUAUACAUCCACCUCAUUCAACGGUUCACAUAACAACACAUGUGUCUAGACAUCUAUACCGUCAGUGAGCAAAGCAGAGAACUAGCUUCCAGGAGCACAUGCCAUCCUCAUAGCUGGCCAGAGAGCUUUGCUUUCAUUCUUCAGAGUGUAGUAUGAACGUACUGUGUUUGCAAGAGGAGGUUAGGUCACUCACAACAUAAAGAGGUUUUACAUAAUAUGCUUGCUCAUUUUAAAACUGAGGUGGAAAGUAAGUGACUUUAAUGUUCUCAUGGGAGGAAUUUUUGUUUUGUUUUUGUCAUUGUUGGUUUGUUUUGCUUUCUGAAACUCUUUUAAGUAAGCAUUACCUGAAAAUAUUUAUACAAAAAGGUGUGUCUCAGUUUUUGAAAAACCGGUUCACUAGAAAUCAAUGGAUUCCUAAGCUUCUGAAAGUUCUGAACUUUGAGAAAUUUUCAUUUACAUUCUCUCUCAUUCUCUCUCUCUCCCCACUCUUCUCUCUGUGUGUGUAUGUGUGUGUGUGUGCACACACGUGCAUGUGUGCAUGUAUGUAAAAAAUUACAUUUUAAACUAUAUGAAACAUGGAAAUAAAAAGAAUGACUGUGCAGAUAGUUCUCAAAUUGGGAAUGUCUAAGAUCUUACAACAUUUUUUCACCUCCCUAAGAAACCAGGUAAGGAAUGACAAUUUAUUUACUGCGAAGUGGGACGAUUUAGUUCUUUCUUCUACUGAGUUGGGUUAAAUGUGCUCACAUUGAAUUAAUGUUUGGCAAAAAAAAAAUCAUGAUAAAUAUUUUACUGACAGGUAGGUAUGUUAAGCUAAAUUGAGCCACCCGAUAUAAUGUUUUAAUUAAAAUACAGUUUUGUUUUGUUAGAAACAAUGGCAAAGAAGGAAUAGCCAUAUCUGGAAGUCAUAUCCUAGAGAGGGACUUCUGCAUGUGUGGGGAACAGUCAACUUUACAAUAUGACUCUAUGACUCUCCUCCCCAUUCAUGCCUAGAAUUCAGGAUAGAUUUUUUUUUUCGGGAAGCCCAUUGCGUGAUUAUAUAUAAAACAUACACAUACAUAUUUGUCAAUAUGUAAAUACAAACUGCUUAGUCUGUAAAAUGUUACUUGUCUCUUGUUGGUUUAAUUAGGUCUCUUAUACUGUUUUAUUCUGUGUCAUGGUAUCAGCAUGAAACUCUCCUGGCCUAGAACUCAUUAUGUAAACCAAGCUGUCCUGGAACUCAUAGAGAACUGCUUGCCUCUGCCUCCUUGCUGUUGGAAUUAAAGCCAUAUACUAUUAUACUUGGAGAUUUGGAGUGCAUAUGAAAAGGGUGAAAUCUUUUAGAAUGAUAUGAUAUGAAACUCAAAAAAGCUUUCUUUACAAAUGUAAAAGAAUGAAAUGUGUUUGUGCACAUGAAUACCUAUUAGUAGCUACUUGAGUAAUUUUACAAAGCCUUACUAAGUCAUUUUAUUUUAUCCAAAUUCACUUUUCAUUAUAUGAGGUCAACACUAAUAGAAUUUGCACUUAAUAUGAAAAAAUAUAUUUUAAUGCUACAAAGCAUUCAUUUAAAGAACAGCUCAAAUUACCAUCCAGCUCUAGAACAUUCUCCCUCUGUCAAAGAACUGUAUACCCGUUCCAACAUAUGCCCAGUGCGUCCCAUCAGCUGCCAUUGCACUCUGUGUAUCUCUGGAUCUGAAUACUCUGCUACAUCAUGUGGACAAGUGAAUACACAUUUGAUUGGCUCAUUCCAGUUAUCUAGAGGCUCUCAUAUUUAAUUCACCUGGAAGAAGGAUAUGCUUCCUUUGAUUGGCUCAUUCCAAUUAUCACAAGGCCCUUAGACUUCAUUCAUUUGGAGGAAGAAUAUUUUUCCUUUUCUAGACCAAAUCAUUUUUCACUAUACAUACAUAUAUGUGUGUGCAUGUAUAUACCCACCGUUCAUCCAAUUUACCAACUUGUGGCUUGUCAUGAAUAAUGCUAUUAAGGAACAAACAAACAACAACAAGAACAGCAAACUAUCAAAAUAGUUGUUGAAUCUUUUAUUUUCAGGGAUUUUUGGCUAUGAAGAUUCUUUUCUAAACUUGUAUAACUCAGUAUAGAGCACCUGUGGUCUUGUCAGUAAGAGUACCUGUGAUCUUGUCCUUCAGAGGGUACAACCACCUGGGAUCUUGUGGGGGUAUGAGUGUCUGUGAUCUCAUCAGUAAGAGGGUAUGAGUGUCUGUGAUCUCAUCAGUAAGAGGGCAUGAGUGUCUGUGAUCUCAUCAGUAAGAGGGUAUGAGCACCUGUGAUCUCAUCAGUAAGAGGGUAUGAGUGUCUGUGAUCUUAUCAGUAAGAGGGUAUGAGUGUCUGUGAUCUCAUCAGUAAGAGGGUAUGAGCACCUGUGAUCUCAUCAGUAAGAGGGUGUGAGUGUCUGCGAUCUCAUCAGUAAGAGGGUGUGAGUGUCUGUGAUCUCAUCAGUAAGAGGGUGUGAGUGUCUGUGAUCUCAUCAGUAAGAGGGUGUGAGUGUCUGCGAUCUCAUCAGUAAGAGGGUGUGAGUGUCUGCGAUCUCAUCAGUAAGAGGGUGUGAGUGUCUGUGAUCUCAUCAGUAAGAGGGUAUGAGCACCUGUGCUCUUCUCAGAAUGAGCAUUUGUGAUCUUCUAGCUACAAGCACCUGUGAUCUUGUCAGUAUCAGCGCCUGUGAUCUUGGUGAUACAAGCACCUUUUAUCUUGUGAUUUUUGUCCUUAUGAGUACCUGUGAUUUUUGUCAGUAUGAGGGUAUGAGCACCUGUGCUUUUACUAGUAUGAGCACUUGUGACCUUGGGUAGUAGGCUUUUAGUUUUUUAUUAAUGCUUUCUUUGGAUUGAUAUAAAGCGGAACGCUGAUAAUUGUUUUUAAGUUUUCAAAUUUUAAAAUAUUUUCUGACAUGAAUGUUACCAUUUUAACUAAUGAAUAAAACUUUUGUUAAUGUAAUAUUCAUUCUGCUCUUCUUAACUUCAAUCUUGUAAAACUGAGAAUUCUCCCUGAUAACACAAUCUUGUGCAUUUUAUAGAGGCAGUUCCAGUUUUAUGAAAUCGCCAUCACAAAAGUAAUGUAUACUUUUAAGAUAUUAACUAUAGUCUAUGAGUUAAUAAAUGCUGGAUAGGUAAGUCUAUAGAUGUAUAUAUAAAUCAACCAUUAAGGAAUCUCAUUUGACCUUCCUUACCCAUCUUAGCAGAGAAUAAAGUGAGAUUUUAAAAAUGUGUCAUACAACCCAUCCAUUAUUAAGGGGCAAAGAGAGAGUGCCAGCUCAUGCCUUUCUACUAUCAAACUCACUUCAAACACAGUACAUCGCAGCAUCCCUCUGCUGAGUGAACUCUUAUAAAAGCGCUCCAGUACAUCACACUGCAGUUGGCUGCACAUCUCCGGAAAGAUGAUCUCUGAAAAAUGGAAUCAUGUUUGGGAAUCUCGCAGCUAAUAAUUCAUUUGGAUUGCUGGUUCUUUUUGUUCUCCUAUUGUCCAUGUGACACAUAACCACCACUGGUUUCACUAAAGUUAAUUUAGCAUGACAUUUUUAAAAGCUAGGUCAAAGCUAUGCAAACAGAAUGACACUUAAAUAGAUUAUCUCAAGUGUGCAACAUCCUGUAUAUUAAAUUUGUUUUAUUUUAUUAUGAUGCUCAGGCUGACCUUGAACUUUCAAGCUUCUUGCCUCAAUAUCAUAGUACUUGUUUUACAGAGGAGCAUCAUGUCUACCUCCUUACCACAAUCCAUUGGCUUGUUUCUUUCUUUGCUUGCUUGUUUUAAGACAUGGACCUCAGUAUUCUAGGCUGGCCUAGAACUCACUAUGGAACUGAUUCUCCAGUUUCCACCUCCCAAGUGCUAGGAUCAUUGAUGUGCAUUUCCAUUCCUUUAAUUCUCUUACAAGAGUAAGCCUCCUGUUUUAUAUUUAUUGUGAUUAAGAGCAAAAUAUUUAAACCUUAGUCCCAUUGCCUUUAAGAAGAACUGUUGAA
This is a long non-coding RNA of Mastomys coucha (southern multimammate mouse), 13978 nucleotides long. RefSeq lists it as uncharacterized. The transcript has 3 exons. The record is from RefSeq and is a predicted model, not a curated record. NCBI's taxonomy places the organism in Eukaryota, Metazoa, Chordata, Mammalia, Rodentia, Muridae.